CCCAAUGGCAACUGCAUUUACUAACAAGAUCCGCAAACUAAUGAGGUAAUAUCUGUUAGGAGAUUGGAGGGAGGCUUAUAUAAGAUGGACAACUCAACUUUUUCUUCCCAUGUGUCUAGCGUCCUGCAUACUGUCACUCAAUUACCUAAUAUUGUAGCUGAAAUUUGUAUUUUUCCUUAUCUUAAUAGUACUGAUAUAAAUAAAAGCCUCCUUGUUUCUAGUAAAGAGUGGCAUAAUAGGCUUGGG
RNAcentral lists this unclassified non-coding RNA (246 nucleotides) under Hevea brasiliensis (rubber tree). Lineage: Eukaryota; Viridiplantae; Streptophyta; Magnoliopsida; Malpighiales; Euphorbiaceae. The record is from RNAcentral.